RNAcentral lists this ribosomal RNA (818 nucleotides) under uncultured marine microorganism. Its description in RNAcentral is "bacterial SSU rRNA". It matches the Rfam family "Bacterial small subunit ribosomal RNA", at positions 8 to 809 of the family's 1533-position model. The record is from RNAcentral.
AGAGUUUGAUCAUGGCUCAGGACGAACGCUGGCGGCGUGCCUAAUACAUGCAAGUUGAGCGAUGAAGAUUGGUGCUUGCACCAAUUUGAAGAGCAGCGAACGGGUGAGUAACGCGUGGGGAAUCUGCCUUUGAGCGGGGGACAACAUUUGGAAACGAAUGCUAAUACCGCAUAACAACUUUAAACAUAAGUUUUAAGUUUGAAAGGUGCAAUUGCAUCACUCAAAGAUGAUCCCGCGUUGUAUUAGCUAGUUGGUGAGGUAAAGGCUCACCAAGGCGAUGAUACAUAGCCGACCUGAGAGGGUGAUCGGCCACAUUGGGACUGAGACACGGCCCAAACUCCUACGGGAGGCAGCAGUAGGGAAUCUUCGGCAAUGGACGAAAGUCUGACCGAGCAACGCCGCGUGAGUGAAGAAGGUUUUCGGAUCGUAAAACUCUGUUGGUAGAGAAGAACGUUGGUGAGAGUGGAAAGCUCAUCAAGUGACGGUAACUACCCAGAAAGGGACGGCUAACUACGUGCCAGCAGCCGCGGUAAUACGUAGGUCCCGAGCGUUGUCCGGAUUUAUUGGGCGUAAAGCGAGCGCAGGUGGUUUAUUAAGUCUGGUGUAAAAGGCAGUGGCUCAACCAUUGUAUGCAUUGGAAACUGGUAGACUUGAGUGCAGGAGAGGAGAGUGGAAUUCCAUGUGUAGCGGUGAAAUGCGUAGAUAUAUGGAGGAACACCGGUGGCGAAAGCGGCUCUCUGGCCUGUAACUGACACUGANGCUCGAAAGCGUGGGGAGCAAACAGGAUUAGAUACCCUGGUAGUCCACGCCGUAAACGA